AUGAGGUUCACCAAUAAGCAUAAUCCUAUUUUGAGACAAGCUGAUAUUUAUUUGGCGAAAAUGGUCUCCAUAAACAAAUUUAUUACAGUUUAUAUGUUUUCAAUUUUCAGCAUGGAUAUUGGAUAUGUAUGCUCUUACAUGGAGAAACAAUUAUAAUACAUCUGCAUUUAUGUCUCUAUUUGUCGAAAGUGAUCGAUUUGGAUUGAGAAUAUGCCAAAUGACGCAUAAUGGAAAACCUGUUGGAGGUGAAAUCUCAAUUGCUCGUGAAUCUGAGAUGGUUGGAAGUAUUCCUAAAACAGCAAUGGAGAAAGCUUUGAUUGAAUAGGAGAAUACCAAGUUUUCGAAGCCAAUAAAAAAAAAUCUCAAACAAGAGGUUGUCACUUCUACUCCCCAUGUUGUCAAGCAUAAGGGAAUGCAUAGCGAAGAUCUUACUAGUAUGAAUAUCGAUAAGACGCAGCUAUUGGAAAGUGUAUUGACAGAAGCAUAUGAAGGUGAUGAAGAUUCACUUCUUGGAGAGUGACAAUUUACAUUCGUUGCAUUUCUGAUGGGUCAAUCGCUUGAAGCAUUUCUACAGUGGAAGCUUUUAAUUGGCCUCUUGUUGGGCUGCACGGAGGCUGUGAGUACAAACAUAUAUGGAUUAGAUUUUUCAGGAUAUACUUAUCCAAUAGAAGGGGAUAAAAUCCAUACUAUCCUCACUGUCAGAAUUGUAUUCUAUUAACUAAGUUUAUGCAAAUGGAUCUGGACAGCAUUGGUACGA
Long non-coding RNA from Olea europaea var. sylvestris, 757 nucleotides. RefSeq lists it as uncharacterized. NCBI's taxonomy places the organism in Eukaryota, Viridiplantae, Streptophyta, Magnoliopsida, Lamiales, Oleaceae. The transcript is spliced from 4 exons. The record is from RefSeq and is a predicted model, not a curated record.